GGGGAUGUAAAGGUUUCGACAGGGGCGAGUGUGGUAUAGAUAGCGAGUCGGCGUUCCAUUGGGCCGUUAAACGGUGGGAAAACAUUUAAACGCAGAAGAAAAUUUUGCAUUAGCUGCAUAAGCUACGUCCCUCAUACUUGUGCCUACCAAGUGUGAAUGG
This 160-nucleotide transfer-messenger RNA is filed under the name Veillonella sp. RNAcentral's name for it is "partial transfer-messenger RNA". It matches the Rfam family "transfer-messenger RNA", at positions 1 to 181 of the family's 374-position model. From Rfam's summary of the family: Bacterial tmRNA, also known as 10Sa RNA or SsrA, is named for its dual tRNA and mRNA-like properties. The record is from RNAcentral. Lineage: Bacteria; Bacillati; Bacillota; Negativicutes; Veillonellales; Veillonellaceae.